GCCGCCGCUGCCGCCGCCGAAGCGGAGACCGGAGCCGCGAGCGCCACCAGGGCAGCAGCCGCCGCAGCCGCCGCCGCUGGGCAGAGGAGCCGGAGACGCGAGCGGGCGAGGUGGCGGCGGCGGCGGAGCGGGAGCGGGUACCGGGCGCGGGCAGAGCGCGGCGGCGCGGGUGUGUUCCAGAGAACAAGCCUUCAGACAUAUUUGCUAUAUUGACGCUGAGCUGUCAGGGGACUCAGGCUUAUGAGGAGGUAUUGUUACACAAAACAGUGUCUAGUGAAGACGACAAGAAAGAGGGGAAAGGAUCGGAAAAAGAAGCUAAAAUACUAUAGAAAACCAUGAGAUCUAUUCGAUCUUUUGCUAAUGAUGAUCGCCAUGUUAUGGUGAAACAUUCAACAAUCUAUCCAUCUCCGGAGGAACUUGAAGCUGUUCAGAAUAUGGUAUCUACUGUUGAAUGUGCUCUUAAACAUGUCUCAGAUUGGUUGGAUGAAACAAAUAAAGGCACAAAAACAGAGGGUGAGACAGAAGUGAAGAAAGAUGAGGCCGGAGAAAACUAUUCCAAGGAUCAAGGUGGUCGGACAUUGUGUGGUGUAAUGAGGAUUGGCCUGGUUGCAAAAGGCUUGCUGAUUAAAGAUGAUAUGGACUUGGAGCUGGUUUUAAUGUGCAAAGACAAACCCACAGAGACCCUGUUAAAUACAGUCAAAGAUAAUCUUCCUAUUCAGAUUCAGAAACUCACAGAAGAGAAAUAUCAAGUGGAACAAUGUGUAAAUGAGGCAUCUAUUAUAAUUCGGAAUACAAAAGAGCCCACGCUAACCUUGAAGGUGAUACUUACCUCACCUCUAAUUAGGGACGAAUUGGAGAAGAAGGAUGGAGAAAAUGUUUCGAUGAAAGAUCCUCCGGACUUAUUGGACAGGCAGAAAUGCCUGAACGCCUUGGCGUCUCUUCGACAUGCCAAAUGGUUUCAGGCAAGGGCAAAUGGAUUAAAAUCAUGUGUAAUUGUCCUCCGCAUUCUGCGUGAUUUGUGCAACAGAGUCCCCACAUGGGCACCAUUGAAAGGAUGGCCACUAGAACUUAUAUGUGAAAAGUCUAUAGGUACUUGUAAUAGACCUUUGGGCGCUGGGGAGGCCUUGAGACGAGUAAUGGAGUGUUUGGCAUCUGGAAUACUACUUCCUGGGGGUCCUGGUCUUCAUGAUCCUUGUGAGCGAGACCCAACAGAUGCUCUGAGCUAUAUGACCAUCCAGCAAAAAGAAGAUAUUACCCACAGUGCACAGCAUGCACUCAGACUAUCAGCCUUUGGCCAGAUUUACAAAGUGCUGGAGAUGGACCCCCUUCCAUCUAGUAAGCCUUUUCAGAAGUAUUCCUGGUCAGUUACUGAUAAAGAAGGUGCUGGGUCUUCAGCUCUAAAGAGGCCAUUUGAAGAUGGAUUAGGGGAUGAUAAAGACCCCAACAAGAAGAUGAAACGAAACUUAAGGAAAAUUCUGGAUAGUAAAGCAAUAGACCUUAUGAAUGCACUAAUGAGGCUAAAUCAGAUCAGGCCUGGGCUUCAGUAUAAGCUCUUAUCUCAGUCUGGCCCCGUUCAUGCCCCAGUCUUCACAAUGUCUGUAGAUGUGGAUGGCACAACAUAUGAAGCCUCAGGACCAUCCAAGAAAACAGCAAAACUUCACGUAGCGGUGAAGGUAUUGCAGGCAAUGGGAUAUCCAACAGGCUUUGAUGCAGAUAUUGAGUGUAUGAGUUCCGAUGAAAAAUCAGAUAAUGAAAGUAAAAAUGAAACAGUGUCUUCAAACUCAAGCAAUAAUACUGGAAAUUCUACAACUGAAACCUCCAGUACCUUAGAGGUAAGAACUCAGGGCCCUAUCCUCACAGCAAGUGGCAAAAACCCUGUAAUGGAGCUCAAUGAAAAAAGAAGAGGUCUCAAGUAUGAACUCAUCUCAGAGACUGGUGGAAGCCAUGACAAGCGCUUUGUAAUGGAGGUAGAAGUAGAUGGACAGAAAUUCAGAGGCGCAGGUCCAAAUAAGAAAGUGGCAAAGGCGAGUGCAGCUUUAGCUGCCUUGGAGAAACUGUUUUCUGGACCCAAUGCGGCAAAUAAUAAGAAAAAGAAGAUUAUCCCUCAGGCAAAGGGUGUUGUGAAUACAGCUGUGUCUGCAGCAGUCCAAGCUGUUCGGGGCAGAGGAAGAGGAACUCUAACAAGGGGAGCUUUUGUUGGGGCGACAGCUGCUCCUGGCUACAUAGCUCCAGGCUAUGGAACACCAUAUGGUUACAGCACAGCUGCCCCUGCCUAUGGUUAAUACUUUUAAGCAGUUUUCAGCACGUUUAUCUCACUUUAUUCUCGUUCUCCUCGGACCUCCGUAGCCAUAUCACUUGUAUAAAAUAGGCUGAGAUAUAGUGACUGUAAGCUGUGAUCUCAGUAUACAAAGGAGUCUUGGAAAGGAGACGGGUGGUAAAUGGAUAACAACAGCAGAGCCAAGAAACUACUGCUGAGGUGGGUUUCAAUAUUGAUGUGUUUCUCUCUAGCCCUUAUUUACAGAGUACAGAGCUAGUACUUAGAAUGAGUCCCUUCCUUUCUUAAUAGCCUCUUCCCGAAAGACUGUUUUAAGUCAAGAAUUCCAGUUGAGUUGGUUGUAAGAAUAGAUAUCCUUUCCCACAUUAUCAUUUUAGGUAGGAACUAACAGAUUCCAUUGAUGCUUUGAAGCAGCGAUCUUUGGAGGUUUUUAAAAAUAGUACCAUCAUGCAAAUUAGGUUAUGUAAGCUUUACAGCACAGCUAGAAAUAGAGACUAGAAACCAUGCGGGAAUCUGGGCCAAAGAAUUUCUCUCCUUCCAGCACAUUCCCAUGGGGCUCAGGAAUUAGAUGAGUUAAUACACAUAAUAUGUUUUGAACAGUACCUGGUGCAGAGUACCUACUCAGUGAAUGUUGAGUGUUCUUACCGUGGUUUGGCGAGGUGAGGAUGAACGUGAGGAGGGCAAGGCUCUGCCAACAGGUGUUGGAGAGGCAGGUGCAUGGCCUGCUCAGGGUGGAGCUGUGUCAGUUCCUUGGUGCUGAUAGGCGUCAGCUGCUGCCAGGCUUUGGGAGAGGACUCCUGGUAUCUAGGGGUUAGACAAGAAACACACCCCAAAGACCUGGUGAGAGCUAGUGUGGUGGUGUUGCUGCAGAUCCAAGCUUAAGGAAGUUGCUCCUGUGUCUGUUACAGUAGUUAAAUUACCAGCCAAUCUGCUGCCAAGGGUUUGUAAAUACUUGGUUUUUUGGGGGGGGGGGGAUUUAAGGGUGCUUAGAACUUCAUAAGGGCUGAUCUUAGAAUAUCUACCUGCUGAGUCCAAGUGUCCAACCAGUGCAUUAAUAAUUUUUUAAAAAGGUGUUUGGUUACAACUGCCUCCGGAAUCUAACCUUCAGGGCUUAACAGUGUUUAGUAGGUAGAAAGCAAGUUCCUUUAAAGCACAGAAAGGAAAGGAGGAAACUGAUUGGUGUGCUUAAAAGGCUGUUGACUAGGGUGCUUCUCUGAAAAGCACUCCUGUAGCUUGUCUCUUCUAGUUUGUUUUGAUAAUUUUGAGGGGAAAAAUCUGCACUCGACACCAUAUGAGGCCUCCCUUCUGCCUAUUAGUCUUAGAGAAAACAUAUCUGCCCAUCUAUUCGUCUUUCUUUUUGUCUAUCCAUUUACUGUCUGGACACAGUUGGGAAGUUGCUGUUUUUCGAUAAGAGGAAAAUGGGUACAUGAUGAAAUUGAUGCUUUUGGAUUAAAUAGAGGGUGCACGUCUUAUCUUCCAUUCCUUUGUGUGUCUACAAAGACUUCAGGAGCCUCUGCAGAAAGGUGGUCAGAUGCAUCCUUGGCUGUUGGUAAGAGGUGAGCUAAGUGGGGAACAUAGAUUGGAGCCCUCAGAUGCUCCAAGUUUAUAAAAACUGUGUGUAGACAAGGACUGAGUGUUACCUUUAAGGAGGCAAAUAAGAUUUGCCUUGUAGUCAGGAGGUUUUUCUUAAAUCUAAGAAAUACUUGUUUAGCUAAUGUCCUGGCAAAAGUUGGUACAUUCCCCCCAGGGGAGGCUGUCUGGUGGAGUCUUUGCCUUGUUCAGCCAUCAUUGAGGGAGGACUUCUUUUUUGCCUCCUUCUGAGGAGGGUCUUGGUCUCUCUUGGCAGAACUUUGCCAUUUCUGCAGAUGAACUGUGCCAUCCUGCUGGUGGGCAGAGUGAAGAUAGCCACCGUUUGCCCAGGCAGUUUCAGCACUGGACAAAAGGUGUCUGCAUGCAGGUGUCUGCUAAAUGCCCCAAGUAAUGAGGUGAACAGCAGCCCUCAGUUUAGGUCAUUUGGGGCAGCAGUGGAUUGAAGGAGUAGGAAGGGAAGGGGAAGGAGAGAUGCCACCAUUUGUAUCUUGUGUGCCAGGCACUUGGACAUUCUUCUGAAUUCUCCAGCUACCUUUCUGGAAGUAGUAGUAUCCUUAGUUUACAAAAGAAACUGAUGCUCCAGGUUAAGUGCUAGAACCAUUAAUGGAACCUAGCUCUGUUCUAAAGCCUUUUUCUAUUCCAUCCUGCUAUGGAUUAAAAGGCUGGGGCCGACAGGAUGGGCUCUGCUGGUAGCUAGGCCCUCUGACUUGAGGUGACUCCAGAUCAGAUAAUCUGGCCUAAAAUAGGGCUCUUUUCAUUUAAAUUGGUUGUGAAGAACGAUUUAACAUACUGGAAGGACAGACUGAAGGGCUGCAUUGCAUCUGUAUCCACAGAGGAAGCAUUUUUAUCUAAAGCUUGUUUUUCUUUGAAUUUCAGUGAAAUCUGAGGUAUGUGUUUUCACUUAGCUUAUAUUUUCCGAGUGCAUGUUCUCUGCCUGGCCUGAGAUAGGUCAUGAGGGUGUCUUCAACAAUUUAAGCCAGACUCUGAAGGCAGGCUGGUGAGGCUUUGGCUCAUUGGGUACAAGGAAGAGGAGCACAGAGGGGCAGCAGCCCAGGUCUGAGGUAUAAGUGCAAGGGGGUGUCCCUGGACGAGUACUCAGUAGAGAUGGGUGGUGGCAGAUUGCAGAGGUCAGUGUUCAUUGCCAGGAGUUUCCCUUGGAGUAGGCCUCAGGGCAGACUGCCAGCCUGGAGUUUGCUGUCUUCCCUCCAAGUUGGACCCGUGUAUGGUUAAGCCCUGCUUGGAUGGCUUUGGGGUCUCUAAAUUGCUGCCUGUGAACCACCCUGCUGAGCAUGUUGGAUUCUUCUGCUGCUGUAACCACUUUACCAGCUCCUGGGCUAAUGAAUGACAGCUGGGUCUCUGCUCAGGCGUGGGUGGGUGCGGGGAUGGCUGCGGGAUCCUUUUCAGGACAAGGUAUUCCUCAUCCACCCCAAGUCAUCCUCUUUCUGGGCACUUGGCAAUGUUUCUGUGCACCCUGCCGUAAUCCUGGAGGGGAGCAGGAAAAAGGAACCUUUGAAUCCCAGGCUGUUGUGUUCUAGAGCAUGACUGUGUCAGGGAGAAUGAGCGCCUGGCAUUCAUAGAACACAGUCCUCUCUCAGGCCCUUUCCCGUUUGUCAUUUCAUGACUUGCUGUACUGGUGGCCCUUGGAGAAGCAGCAGUGCAUAGAUCGUUGUUCCCACCCUGCAGACAGGGAGAGUAGAGCCCAGAGAUCUCUCCAAACCACACUGCUUAUUUGUGGCAAAGCAUUGUGGCCCGUAAUGAGUUUUUAACCACCAGAAGAAAUAACAUUUCUUAAGACUGUUUUUAGAGGUAACAGCAGCCCUUUCUGAGGAAUUAGUUUUGAAUUUCACCACAACUGGAAUUAGAAAUUUUCUCCUUUUACAGAUGAGGAAAUAGAUGCUUAGAUAAGGUGACUUGCCCCAAAUUAUAGUGCGGUGAGUGGUGGCGCUCACCCCGUCUGAGGCUGUGCUGUGUGCAGGUGGUUUGCGUCGCUAGUAUGCACCAAUGUCCGUUCUGUCUUCCAAGCCCACUUGGCAGCAGUGGCUUCUCUCUCUGUGAUGUGUUCGGCUCACCUUUCCUGUAGGCUUCUGGGCUACCCCCUGUGCGCCUUGAAACCAAGCAAAAACCAACCCACAUCUCCCUGAUCCUUCCUCAGCCUCCUAAAAUCCAGACUUUCUGGGCUCGUUCUUUUUCUGGUUCCUUUGUUAGUGUGCUACUGGGCAAGGUGACCAACUGGUCAGCCCUGGGCCAGGCAGCCUGUUUUUUUGUUUUGUUUUCUUUUUUGCCAGCUACACAGUUGGGGUUAAUUUCUACAGACCAUCAUUUUAUACUGUAACUGAACCCUAUAAUAAAGUGCAAAUUCAGUAAUUGCUACUUGGAGAGCUCCUCAGGGGUGGGAAGGAGGACAGGGGAUGUGCUGUUGGAAGUAUGUGUUUUAUGUUCAGCCUCAUCCACACUUUGGUUUUUGGCCACAUCCUCCAUUCCUGGCUUGGCCUUCAAACAUGUGCUCUAACCCAUGGGAUCACCGUCAUGGUAACACAUUUUCCAGAGCAAUCUGGUGUUGGGAUCCCCUUGGAUUCUUCCAUCAUGAGACUUCUCGGAAGUCUCAGCUUUCUAAAAAUCCCUCAUUCCUGCAGAGGCUACGUUAAAGGAAUAUGGUAGCCAUCAUCUGGGAGGUAAAAAACCUAUGGAAAUUGGCACCUGGGGAACUCAGGAAAGCUGAAAGCACCUUGAAAUGAGAUGGAAGGACCAGAAGGUUAAGGCUGGUGAAGAGGAGACCUGGAGAGAAUGUGGGCACUCCUGCCAGGUAUUUUUAAGGGAUUAUAUUUAUUUGUUGUAUGUGGUUCCAAAGGGUGAAAGACAAUUAUGGGAAGCCAGUGGGGCAAUUUGAGCUAAAAUACACCUCCCGCGAUGACAGACGCAGCCUUGAGAGAGCAGCUGAGGUGCAACAUGAGCUCCCUGUAACCAGCAUGUUCAAGCAAGAAGCCGCUUGUGUGGACGGCAAAGAGGAAAUGCUGUGGAAUGUCAGUUUGGACGAACUCUGAUGUGACUGGUGAUGCUGCCAAGACCAUGUCUCCCUUCUUGGGCACGUAGAUUUAUUGAGAAAAACCAUUCACUGUCACCUACUGCUUCUUACCAGGCUCUGUGUUGGGGGAGAAGGAGCAGUUGGAGAAAAUGUCAGAAUCUGCAGCUUAGACAACUGAGUAGAAGGUGAAAUCAUUGACCCAGAUGGAGAGUACAGGGAGGAGAAGAAAGAGGCGCAGAGGAUUUGAACAGAAUGAGAGUCCUCCUCUGUGCAGGGAGAAUGGCUUCAGUGGGUCUCCCCCUCCCUGCUAGGGAUCCUCCUUGCCAGCCCUGGGCUGGGGGCUGGCAGGCCCAUUCCCAGGUCUCCCGCCGAGGGCAGGAGAGGAGCCAGGCCUCAGGAGAGAAGUGCUUACUGAGUAAUUUCCCAAGAGCGAUAGGCUUCCCACUGAGCCAGACGGGAUCCCCAGGAGGGGAGUCAGAGGCGGGCCUGGCAUGCAUGCACAGAGAGAGUGUGCCCACUUGGGGAGCGUGAAGGGCCUUGCUGUGGGACCCGAGAGGAUGAGCAGAGUCAAGUAGCAGGUGGGACACACAGUCUGCAGUCACUUCUUGAAAGGCCCUGGGUGGUGUGUCCUUCAGUGAUGACCAUUGUCCACGAUAGUGAGUUCCAGAGGGUCGAUGGGGACAGUUGGAUAGCCAAGGACCAGAGUCAGGAGGCAGGGCUGAUGAGCAAGAGGCUGUUGCCAUUGGCCAGGCGAGGCGUGAGGGAGGCUGAUGGAGCGCAGCAGCAGAGGGAUGGAGAGGCAGGAAUGGCAUCUCCUCACAGGCCAGGCUCCUCUGCCGGAUUGGGUAGGGACGGGAAGAUGAUGGCCCCCAACCCUGGGCCAAGGAACAAUAGCACCCAUCCGGGGGCGGGGGACCUGCUGGAGUACUUCUCCUGGACCACUGCUCAGUGGGCAAUAGAGGGAACAAUGGUGUUUCUGACCAGGAUGGGGGAAGGCAGGGGAAUGGAGGAAGAUACUGACAGGGUACAGAGGAGGUAGAAUGGAGUGAGGGCCAUCUCCACCGGGCUAGGAAAUGGGGCUUUGGUGGGCCACACUCCAUUGUGCUGGAGCACUCUGGCAUCUCCAUUGGCAGUGGGGAGGGGCUUGUGACCUAUCAGCAUCUUCACCCUUUCCAAGUUUCCGCCAGGCUGGGCUCUCCAGCCAGGAGUCACAGGUACCAGGUGGUUGUUCAUGCUGAGGCCUUUUGCUUGGCAAAAAGUUAAUCCAUUUGUGUUCAUUUUUAACCUAAGCAAGGGUUGGAGCUUGUUGGAUUCAGCAUCUGUGGAACACAGUCUGUAGCCCAUGGGAAGACGUGGACAUUCUUUCCCAAGUUCUUGAAGGAUGGAAAGGACCAUGAACUUGUGAGGUGACCGGAGGAUUGGUUUUGGGUGUCAGUUUUGUGUCUGUCCCAGUGCUGCCACUUUUGCUUUGAAAUGGACAGGGAGAGCUGAAGGCCAGCAUGGGUUUCUGCACCUGUUUCCUACAGCUCUGCUGGGGACUGUGGCUCAGGUGGCAGCUGUGGACACGGAUCCUGUCAGCCUUUGGGUGGCCAGAGUUCCAAGGCCAGGUGUCUCUUAGCUGCAAGCAGCCUUCACUGUUAAUCAACAGGCUACACAAAUCUCACCUCUAAAGAGGUGAAAUGUGAAAAUAUAUGGGAAGCACCGCCUUAGCCCUGUGUCCACAAAUCCUUUCUGUAAAGGGCCAGAUAGCAUUUCAGGCUUUAUGGACCAUGUGGUCUCUGCCACAACUGCUCAGCUCUGCCACUGUAGCACAAAAGCAGCCAGAGACAGUGCGUAAAUAGAUAGCAUGGCUGUGUUCUGAUGAAGCUUCACUUACAAAUACACAGGGCUGUAGUUUGCCAACCCCUGCAAAGUAGGGAGUAUUUUGCCAAAGUUCGCUGUAUUUCACCAACCCCUUAGACUAUAGAGAUGACUUACCCUUUGGCUUAAUCAUGACUGGAAACUUCCUUCCCAUCCACUGCCUGGACCCAUCCACUGCCUGGACCCAUCCACUGCCUGGAUCCAUCCACCUCCCCACAAAGGCUUCCUGAGCAUCUCCUCUGUGUGAGCACUGGCUCAAUGCACAGGACGAUGUAGUUCCUGCCCAUAUAGAACUUAGGUUUUGAGUGACACGUGGGACAUUGAAAGAGGAGAGCAGGUGGCUAAAGAGCAUCAUACAGAACAGGGCUCAGGGAAGUCCCAGGUGGUAGAAUCUCAGAGAGAAGGGCUGAGGGUGAAUCAGGAAAGCCCUGAAGGCAGGCAGCUCUGGAGUCAGGUUUAGACGAGGAGGCUGCAGUUCUCCAGGAAGGGAAACAGGACCAGAUAAUGGAUGAGAUUGUGUCAAACAAUGAGGAGGCCUGCAUAGUCACACAGGCACAUGGGGUCUGCUCGUAAAGGACCAGGAGGGCCAGGCUCAGGAGUGUGGACUGGAUUCUCUGGGCAGUAGGGAGCCAUUGGACAGCUGUGCUCAGGAGGGUCAUGUGAUCACAAAUGCUUAUUAGAAAUGUCACUGGCUAUGGAGGACCAUGUCUGUGGUUAUAAGUUAACGCCUUUCCGUUUAGUCUGGACUUCUUGGUCAAGGUACUUUUGGUAUUAGAGUGGGGAAGAGAGGCCCAGAGAGUUGGACAGGUUUUCUGACCACUGGCUUAUAGUCAGUGAGCACCCCACCUUUAUUUUGACAUGACAGAGCUUUACAGAAUCUUCCUUCUUCAGGCGUUUUCUUUCCUGCUAUCCUAAAGAUUCACGUACAAGGGCAGGAUAAAUGAAACAUUCUGUCUCCAAUCUAAGUUCGGCUUGGGGCCUCAGAAUAUGAAGGUAAAGGGGCGGGGACGGACUGACUGCCUCUUGCUUCAGAAUCAAGUCACAUGGCGGGAACGCUCUAUGGAGCAGAUUGCUUCCUUUGUACAUGCCCUAGGCCCGUGUUCAGCAGGCCUCAGAGAAGCAGAGGUGCUGGCCUCUCGUCUCCAGAGGCUGCCAGCUACUAAGGGAGGUGGAAGCGACUACCCCUGGGGGUGGACUGCUCUGGGCCCGGCCUGACGUCAGGCGUAGGGGACUGAGGUGAAUCAGACAUGGUGGCUGCAUUGAGGAAUGUUCAGUGUAGUUGGGGUGAUGAAAAAACCCACGGCUGUUUGUAGCGCUUUCUGCUGAGCAUGGUCUUUCCUCUCAGAGGGGUUUCUAGGCACAUUGAACGGAGCUGCCAUUCAGAGCAUCGGAGAGGUGCCAGGGACGUGAGCUGCUGCCAGUUUGACAUGAACAGAAGCUGGGAGUAGCUAGUGUUGCUGUGCGUUGAUAGGAGCACAGUGUCCGCUGUGAAGGGGCGGGUAGGGCUGGAGAAAGAUGGCCUAAUACAAGCGCCUCCACAGGUGCUGAUUCAGUGAAGCCCCAACAGCCCCGCGGGGUAGGUGAGGAUCGCAUGCAGCUCGGAGAAGAGAAGGCACUUGCCCCUCUGCCUGAGCUGGGAGGUGGUGGCCAGCUGCACACAGGGCUGUCCCAGGAUGCUGACGAGGCGGGACCAGCCACAGGCCGGCAGCGCUGCACUGUGACCCCCUUUCACAGGGCCCAGCCUUGUUUCUGGCCUUCCGGGACUGAGUCAGGAGGUGAGGGCUAUGUUGCUGCCCCAGCACAGUCGGGCCAGGUGUGGGGAAAGGCAGGAGGGAGGUGUGCUGUGCUCUGAGCAGCCUGGCAGGCCCUGGAGAGGCAGGAAGCCACUGCAAACUUCAGAAACUGGGUGCUGCUUCCUCUCAGUGAAGUUGUGUUUUGCUAAUCUCUGAUAAUCAGGUCAGGGAUACAGAAGGAAGAGUUGCCCCUGGGUGGCUGCUGUCUUUAGACUUGUCGGGCUCCCUCUGGUACAGAAGUGCCUCUCGGAUUUUGCUGCCUGGUCUUCUCUCUUAUGGACAUGGAGUGGCUCUCAGGCUCUUAUGGUACAGCUCUAAGAAGGAACACUUCUUGCAUUGUCUAGUGAAGUUUCUGGGUUUAUGGAAGGGAAACUGACAAACUGGAGCCGGCACAGAUGGACAUUGGGUAAAGAGAAUGCAGCCUGUCCCUGGCUGCAGUGCCAGGUGUGGCCUUUCAUGUGGCAGCAAGUCACGUGCUGUGGCUCCAGCUUCAUAGGAAGGCUCUUGUCUGUCAGGCAGUGGAGUUACUUACAGACAAGAGCCUUGCUCAGGCCAGCCCUGCCCCUGCCUACAGGCACAGGUGCUUUGCCAUCUGUCCCGUUUUCCUGCUUAGGGAACCAAGAUGGUCAGAAAGUUUCUUGACUCUAACCUAAAUAUUUCUGCCGCUUUUGCGAGUCAGACUCUUUUUCUUUUCAUUGUUCAUGGAAAUGGAUCAAGGAGUAGGAGUUUUAGAUAGCUAGGGAGGUGGUGAGAAGUUCCGUCUCCACCUGUAAUUUACAAGUCGUGUCUUAGGUUUCCAGCCUCUUUCCUCUGUUCUGGGUAUCUCGUGCUCUCCACCCUUUAGGGAUUUUGGUGUGGUGGGUCAGUGGCAAGACACUCGAUCCAGACACACGCAUUUCCGAGGCACUUCCAUGUCACUUACCAAGCCUCCUUGUGUGCGGAUAUCACUUCACUGGCUCCCUCAGGCUGCAGCCCUGACCCCCAAGGUAGUGAUGGCAGCUAGUGCAUGAGGUUUGACUUGGAAGUAGCCAGGCAAGCCCUGGUUGCAAAAAAUACCUCUUCUAUUCCGACAGCAGGCCAGAGGCCGCUGCCAUUAGACGCAUCCCUCUACUUACCCCCGAUCACUUUUCAUGGUCAGGCCGGCCUUGCACAAGCAGGUUCUGUUCACUCCGCACCCCCAUUUCUUAGAUGGGGUACUGAGCACUGCUUUUCCCUUAGCUCACUUCAUGUGGCAGCUUCUCAGGGAUGGGACCUACCAUGGCUGUGGGAGAUGCUUUGCUACUACUUACUACCUUUCCGAGGGAGGAGGGCUCAUUUUUAGAAACGUUACUGGGGAGCCAAAUUGUAGGCAUCCGACCAGAGGGCCUCGCUCUCUCCAUCUCCCAGGAACCAAGGGUAGCUCUGGCUCUCUGAGGAGCUGUCUCCAGCCUCCAGGUGGACGUCCUUUCCAGCAUACCAGGGCUUAUGGAGGCAAAAUGAAAGCUGGUCCACGUGGGAACUCCUUACUGUUGUCCUUUCCUUGGGCAGACACCAUAUACUUUUUAGCUCCUAGCAGUGUUUAUCCUGUUUUCCCCAAAGCAUCCUUGGACUCAGGCCUUUCAUCCUGGACCCAUCUGUCUGGCCUGUUGUGCUGAGCCUUUGGUCUAAGUGGUUGGUUGGUCCCAGCCACUUCUUCAAAAGAAGGUUUCCUGAGGUAACCAUAAAUUAGGGCAAUCGUACUUCCAGGAACAGUGAGGCCGAUGGGCCUGUUCCCAAGGGUACUUUGGCAGGGGGUGCUGGGGAAGGGGCUGGCCUAGGGCCAGGUUCAUCGUACCAUUAGCCCUACAGCCCCAUGCCUUUGUGUCCUGGUUUACCCGCCGUGUAGUGGUCCUGCAGGAGUGGAGCCUGUAGGACUUGCUUCUCACCGGCUCCAAGCAGAACUGUCUGGGAAGGUGGGAGGUGCAGCCAGUCUAGACCUGAAGCCCUCACACGAAGGACUAAGGUAGGCCUGCUCAGCCUUGGCCCUUCGUCAGCCCCAAGGGUGGGGGAGGCAGGAGGCGGCUGAGUGUAGUCAUGGAUAGAAACCUUUCCCUACCGCACGGUUACACACAUGGCAUUGGACUCCUGGCUGUAGCUCACUCGGGUCUACUGAAGACCAAGUUAGUUUUUAGAAAUCUAUUUAAAAUAUCUAUCAUGUAUCUAUUUACUGUGUUUUUCUGAAUACGCAAGUGUAAAUAGUAUAAUUUGCAGUGCAAAAUCCUUGGCAAUAACUUUGUGUAUUAUGUUUAAAAACACUGGAAACCGCGACCACCAUGGACUGCCCUUCCCCUCUGAGGCAAUUAUUACAUGUAGGACUCUGAACUUUAAACCUUCAGCGUGACUGAAGCAGCAGCCUGCACAUGUGGAUGGUCAUCAGUGCCUCGCCCAGAGAUGCCUGGCCUUCAUCCAAAGGGACCCUGCUGCCCCAAGUCCUCCAGGCAGCACCCGCACUGUGGCUCCUUCGCACUGAGUAUGUUGGACUCUGCCAUAGACUGACCCUCUUGUCUGGCUGCUGCAGUUUGUCUGUAAUGCCCUGACAUGUUGCAUUCUCCCCAUUUGGAUAAAUAAAAACAAAUGCUUCUGUCACACACA
Molecule: RNA transcript, 13150 nt
Organism: Gorilla gorilla gorilla (western lowland gorilla)
Lineage: Eukaryota; Metazoa; Chordata; Mammalia; Primates; Hominidae
Gene: STRBP
Gene name: spermatid perinuclear RNA binding protein
Exons: 19
Source: RefSeq, a predicted model, not a curated record